Molecule: ribosomal RNA, 830 nt
Filed under: Cantharellus cibarius (golden chanterelle)
Lineage: Eukaryota; Fungi; Basidiomycota; Agaricomycetes; Cantharellales; Hydnaceae
Description: eukaryotic LSU rRNA
Rfam family: Eukaryotic large subunit ribosomal RNA
Source: RNAcentral
GAGUGAAGAGGGAAGAGCUCAUCAUUGGAAUCUGGCAGUGUUUCACUGUCCGAGUUGUAGAUGAGGAGUAGUCCGUCUGGACUGCAUGGCGUCCAAGUACAAUAGGCCGUCAGUGGGACAUCAUAGAGGGUGACAAUCCCGUCCUUGACGCCAAUGUGCAAGUCUAUUACGAUGGCUAUCUCAGAGAGUCGAGCAGUUUGGGAUUUGCUGCUUAAACAUGGGAGGUAGAUUCCUUCUAAAGCUAAAUACAGGCGAGAGACCGAUAGAGAACAAGUACCGCAAGGGAAAGAUGAAAUAGCACUCUGUGAAGGGAGUCAAAAGGCGUGAAAUUGUUGCGAGAGAAGCGAUUCAAGUCAGCGUAGCUAGGCCCAUCAAGCGUCUUCGCUUUGGACUAGCUUUGCCAGCGGUCUUGUCCCUUAAAGAGACUUGACUUGUAAUAUGUCCAGCCUGGCGUGCACAGGCAGCCCCUUCUGGGGGGCCAGUGACAUGGCUGGUGGAAUGGCUUGCAAUCGACCCGUCUUGAAACACGGACCAAGGAGUCUAACAUGUAUGCGAGUAUAAGGGUGGCAAACCCGUAUGCGCAAUGAAAGUGAUUUUCGGUGAUUGAGAAUGGCCUGAUGACCAGACAAGCAAUAUAUGUCCCUCGUACGGCCAUUGCCCAAGUUCCGUGGUAGAUCCCACGAACAUGGAGUUGGAGCAUACAUGCUAGGACCCGAAAGAUGGUGAACUAUGCCUGGACAAAGCGAAGCCAAAGGAAACUCUGGUGGAGGCUUGUAGCGAUUCUGACGUGCAAAUCGAUCGUCUGAUCUGGGUAUAGGGGCGAAAGACUA